AGGGAUUAAAAAGAAAAAUGCAUUAAAAAAACAAAGUAAAAUAAAAGAGAGGCAGGGAGGUGCAAUAUGUGUAGAGGUGUGUGGAUUUGAAUUGGGGUGCAGGCCCAUAUUCAACAAAAUCCAAGUGUUUGUUGUUGGGUAUAGUUCAUAUCAAGAAGGGUGUGAGGCAGUUGAAUGGUGUAUGUGCAGUAAAGUUGGUUUGGGCCAAGGACUUUAGGCCCAACACCAAACCAAGCCAAUGGAGGAGGGAAGAAAUUCAAAAAAAAGUUCAAGACCACUCAUCCAAACGUGUUGCUACUCCUAGUUAUGGCCAAAAAAAAAUUGUCGCGCCAGAAAUCACCUCCGGCGGCGGUGAGGUUCAAACACCACCAAAUCAAUAUUAGAAUGCUUACUUUCCUCCCCUCUUCCAUGAUCCAUCAACAUCUUUCCAUAAUUCUUACCACAUAAACCAAAUCAAACGAAACCUUACAUGAACCCUAAAACAAAAUUUUGAAAUUAAAUGCGAUAGAGGAGGAAUCAAAGCCUACAGUGUUAGGGCUUUGAUUCCUCAAGCUUAAGACUACAUGACAGUAUCAAUAUCAACGUGAAAUGCUGAAGAAAUCAAAGGGCUCACCUAUGAGGUGGAGAAUGGCCCCAGAGUCGUAGGAGUUGAUAAAGAUGAGGCAGAAAAUGAAAGAGUAUCAAGAAUGUUCAGGAUGGUAUUGUGGUCAUGGUUUAGGCAUGGAUCAUGGAUAAAUUUUGGUCAACAUGAAGAACUUGAAGGCUUACAAAGAUGGAAUGGAGAAGAUAGAGAAUAGGGUUUAGAAUAGGAUUAGAGGUUGACUGUGGUCCAAUGUUAACCCAAAGGUCAUAGUUGACCAAAGUCAACUUUAGGUCUACAAGGUGUAUUUUGUGUAAAAUUGGAUUUUGAACUUUUUGUAAUGACUUUUAAGGUUUUUGUAAUGAAAAUGGCUUUGAAUGGUGUGUA
Molecule: long non-coding RNA, 967 nt
Organism: Lathyrus oleraceus (garden pea)
Lineage: Eukaryota; Viridiplantae; Streptophyta; Magnoliopsida; Fabales; Fabaceae
Exons: 2
Source: RefSeq, a predicted model, not a curated record